CGCAGUGCGCUACCUGCAGUCGAACGACCUUCGGGUGAGUGGCGGACGGGUGAGUAACGCGUGAGGAUCUGCCUUCAGGAGGGGGACAACAGUUGGAAACGACUGCUAAUACCCCAUAUGCCUAUGGGUGAAACGGUGAAUUCCGCCUGAAGAUGAACUCGCGUCGGAUUAGCUAGUUGGUGGGGUAAGGGCCUACCAAGGCGACGAUCCGUACCUGGUCUGAGAGGAUGAUCAGCCACACUGGGACUGAGACACGGCCCAAACUCCUACGGGAGGCAGCAGUGGGGAAUUUUCCGCAAUGGGCGAAAGCCUGACGGAGCAACUACGCGUGCGGGAUGACGGCCUGUGGGUUGUAAACCGCUUUUCUCAGGGAAGAAGAUCUGACGGUACCUGAGGAAUCAGCAUCGGCUAACUCCGUGCCAGCAGCCGCGGUAAUACGGAGGAUGCAAGCGUUAUCCGGAAUUAUUGGGCGUAAAGCGUCCGCAGGCGGCCUAUCAAGUCUGCUGUUAAAGGUCGGGGCUCAACUCCGGUUAGGCAGUGGAAACUGAUAGGCUAGAGUACGGUAGGGGUAGAGGGAAUUCCCAGUGUAGCGGUGAAAUGCGUAGAUAUUGGGAAGAACACCAGUGGCGAAGGCGCUCUACUGGGCCGUAACUGACGCUGAGGGACGAAAGCUAGGGGAGCGAAAGGGAUUAGAUACCCCUGUAGUCUUAGCUGUAAACGAUGGACACUAGGUGUUGGCCGUAUCGACCCGGUCAGUAUCGUAGCUAACGCGUUAAGUGUCCCGCCUGGGGAGUACGCACGCAAGUGUGAAACUCAAAGGAAUUGACGGGGGCCCGCACAAGC
RNAcentral lists this ribosomal RNA (843 nucleotides) under uncultured marine bacterium. RNAcentral describes it as "bacterial SSU rRNA". It matches the Rfam family "Bacterial small subunit ribosomal RNA", at positions 40 to 930 of the family's 1533-position model. The record is from RNAcentral.